Molecule: long non-coding RNA, 989 nt
Organism: Saccostrea echinata
Lineage: Eukaryota; Metazoa; Mollusca; Bivalvia; Ostreida; Ostreidae
Exons: 4
Source: RefSeq, a predicted model, not a curated record
UUAAUUAUUUGCAGUAAGAAUUUGAACUACUGGAGGUCUUAGAACUCUAUAGGCAAAUACAUGACUGUAAAUAAGGAAGUUUGUUGGAAAGAAAGUGGUGAUGUCAGUGUUUUAGAGUAAAGAUACACACACUUCUGACUUAGAGAAUCUGGAAAGUUUAUGAGCAACACAUUGGAACAUAUAAAAAGAGUAAUUAUGGAAGAUAAUCCCAGAGUACAUGACUUAAAUCGACAAGUCGAUGAUGUAAAGGUUGUGAUGAAGGACAAUAUAGGGAAAGUUUUGGAAAGAGGGGAUAAGAUAGAGGAUUUACAAGGCAGGGCAGAAGGCCUAGAGCAGACUGCACAAAACUUUCAGAGGACUACUAAUAAGAUAAAGAGGAAAGAAUUAUGGCGGAACCGCAAGAUGACAAUAAUAUUAGCUGGUGUCAUUAUAGUGAUUGUCCUUGUCAUAAUUCUGAUUGUCCUAGGAGCAAGUGGAGUAUUUUCUGGUGAAAACUGAGAAUGUACAGAAGUAUGAAAUCGACUUGAUACACCAGGAUCAUGUCGCAUCUUACUUUGGUUUAGUAAGAGGUUUCAAGAGGAUUUUUAAAAAUAGACAAUACUAAGUAUUUACAUCCGAUUUCUGUAAUAUUCAGAGAGUUACAUUAUAGGUACAAUAAACAUCUAUCAUGAGAUGUAAAUUUUUUUUAAAUGUAUCAAAAGGUUUAUUACUUCUUUAGGAGCAAUUGAUAAAGCAUUGAUUAUUUAUUAUAGAUGUAUCUUAGAUGAUCAGAGCGAAAUGGUAAAAGAUUAUAAAGACGUCAGUUUUGACGUUUAAAACAGGAGUUUUAAGACACACUGUAAAAGAUCUUCGUGCUUGCAUUCAAAAUUAUUAUAAAGUAACCAACUGAACACUUACCCAGAUAUGACAGAUCAAGCAUCCCAUGACAACUAAUAAAUGUGAUUUUACUGUAAACUCCAAUUCUUGUAUCCAUUUAAUGUUUGUUGAAA